Molecule: transfer RNA, 250 nt
Filed under: Metarhizium anisopliae
Lineage: Eukaryota; Fungi; Ascomycota; Sordariomycetes; Hypocreales; Clavicipitaceae
Description: tRNA-Phe
Source: RNAcentral
AAAAUUAAAAUUUAAUUAAUUUUAAUAAUAUUUAAUUAAAACUUUUUAUAUUAAUAUUUUUUUAUAAAGCUUAUUUUUUUUUAUUUUAAAAUAGUUUUAAUUUAUAUAUAAUAUUAUAUAAUUUUAAUUUAUAUAUAAUAUUAUAUAAUUUUAAUUUAUAUAUAAUAUUAUAUAAUUUUAAUUUAUAUAUAAUAUUAUAUAAUUUUAAUUUAUAUAUUAUAUUAUAUAAUUUUAAUUUUUAUUAAAAUUA